UCUUCAGGCUGAUCCCCCAGAACCACCUCAGGAAUCCCAAAAGAAGAAAGGGGCUUGACUUGUGGCGCAGCCCCCGGGAUGGGAGAAUAUUAGUGGCAAAGCAAGACUUCAUGGGCCAGGCUUCCUGAAAUUCACAACGCCUGAGAGAAGAUUGAGUUGCAACAGGAAAUCUUUCCCUUACUGUUGGUUGUGGUCAAAAACAUUUGAAACACAUUGGUUUAAAGAGCAUCAGGUAAGAUACUGUUUGUGACCAAAAUAGAAAUAUAUAAUUAUCCUUAGCUAUCGUUUGAGUGUGUGUGUUGUUUCCUAAAGGGUUCAUAGCAAUAAAGGAGAAUUUGUGUGAUGAAAGUACUAGUGGAAGUUAUUUGGCACCUGAAUAUACGCCUGAGCGGAUUUUCUUUCAUUAAAUACACACACAUUGCAGUUACUGGCUUCCCUGUGUCCUGUACUUUUGCUUAUUGUGGUUUCCUGUAUUGAGUGGUUUCGUUAUUUUUUUGAAAUAUAUUUAUUUUGAAAUUUAAUUGCACGGUAUACAGAGAAAUUUGGGCAAAUAAAGUACCUCACUGAGGCAAUGUUGUAUAUGUCAGCUGAUUUUAAUAUAAGUUGACUUUAAUAAUAAGUUAAAUAUAACACAGUAACUUAUUUUAAAACUGAUUUAAGAUUUCAUUUUUUUUUUUCAUUUAAUUUCUAAGUGUGUGUCAGUGGAUUUUGCCUGAAGAUAUUACUGGUAGUAAAAGAGUAACAGAUGCAGUUCCCUAAAUUGGAGUUUUUCAUAGACAGUAGGAAAAUGUCAUUAAUUUGGAAUUUGUGAUACUUUGGGCCAGGAUUGGUCCGAUACUUUGGAAAGAUAAGAGCUUGUUACUAAAACAGUGAACUGUCAAAAGAGCUUUUAGGAGUUUUAAAUCUGUGUAAAAAUACGUUAUUGGAAGCAGUUAAGAAAAAGAAUCUACUUUUCUAUAUUGUGGUUAAUUGAGAUAUGUGUAGAUUCUCCAUUAUGGAGAUGACCAGGACAGAGAUAUAUUUAAAUAUUGUUUAUUCUUUGUGAGGCAUGAACUUAUUUUAUAGAAUAAGUUUAUAGUCUAAUUAUGGAGACAGAAGUAUAGAAGAAACCCAGCCUUAAAGAGUGCAGAGAUGUUUUUCUCUCCUCAUAGGACAGGAGGACGGCAUACAAAAGAUAAAAUUUCCUUGAGAAGGCUCUGGGCAGGAAGGUUGAGUGAGUUCUGGUUGCUGAUUUCAAAGACCUUACAAUGGGAUUGCAUCAUGGGCACAUUUAAUUUACUUGAGUUCAGCCAGUCAAGGUCAAGAGAAAAAAAGAGAGGAAGAAGCUAAUAAUCAGCGCCGGGGGUUGGGCCUAGCAUUUCAGACAAUGGGUGUAUGUCCUGGAAUAGUCUGUCAUGGGGAUUGUGAAUCUCUUGUUCCCUUAGCUGGUCUCAAUUCCAGUCAACUCUCACCAGAUACAUAAAUAUUUUUAGUUCAACCCAGCUUGCAACCCACUUACUCUCAGCAAACAACGCGAUCUCCUACCUCAAUCCAAAAAAAAAAAAUGGAAGCUCUAAAUUGUGAACUGCUUCCUUCCUGUUCAUCCUUCCCCACCCCGGACACUUACCCUCCCCUUCUCCAGCCCCAGAGGAGUCUUUCUUAGUUAAGACCUGUCUUCUCUCCUCCAGGACUUGGCUCGUUAGUGACACCCUCUCCCUCAUAACCAGAGGCUGGCAGCACAGAGGAUAAAAAACCCUGGCUUUGGGGCUGACGCCUGCCAGGUUGGAAUAUGGUUUCGUACUUUGUAACCACAUGACUGUGGGCAUGUUGCUUAACUUGUAUGUGUUUCAGUUUUUCCGUUUGGAAAAUGGGACUAGCGGUUGAGUUUCCCUGAGAGUGUGGGGAGCAUGCCAUGAGUGAAGGCAGGUGAAGGGCGUGGAGCGGCAUCUGGCACGGCUCGAACGCAUGUUAGUUUCUACUAUUCCUGCCACUGCUGCCCUUCACCUGCUAAUCUCUGCAUCUCGAUUGGUUUCGACCCCGUAGCCCCGAUGUUUGCUGAACCAUUUCCUGUUCUGGAAAAGAACAAAACCAAACCUCCUCUAGAGCCUGAUCCCCUUCUAACUACUGUCUUCUCUCUCUCCUCUUCCCACCCAAGCGUUUUAAAGACUUUUCAAGGUUAGCUGUCUCUACUUGGUCACCUCCUAUUAACUUUUAUUUUCUUUUUAGAAAAUUUUUUUUUUUUUUUUGGAGAGGAAGAUUCACCCUGAACUAACAUCUGUGCCAAUCUUCCUCUGUUUCGUAUGUGGGAUGCUGCCCCAGUGUUGCUUGAUGAGCAGUGUUUAGGUCUGCACCUAGGAUCUGAACCUGAGAACCCCGGGCUGCCAAAACAGAGCAUGCAAACUUAACCACUAUGCCACUGGCUGGCCCCUAGAAAUUGUUUUUAACGAGACAUUAACUAGAUAUAAAAAUUAUAAAGUAUUUUCUAUUUUGGAAAUAGAUCUUUCUCUCAUUUCCCUUUAUCAUUAUGCAGAUUUUUAUAUUUAUCCUUCCCUUACUUUCUUCAUAGAUUUACCUAAUAUGUGAGUAUUUAAUUUUGCAUAUCGUUGAACUUUAUAAGUAGAAUUAUAUGAUAGAAUCUAGAGGCUUGCUCUUUUGAACCUAACUAUGAUUUCAUCCAUUUUUACUGGCAUAAAGAAUGUCAUUAUAUGCCACAACUUACUCAUUUUCCUGUUUAUGGCUAUUUGGUCCUUUUGCUAUUAUAAACAUGUUUGCUAUGAAUCUUCUUACACAUAUAUCCUGGUGUACCAUAUACACAAGUUUUUCUAGCAUUACACCUCAGAAUGGAAUUUCUAGGAUGUUUGUAUAUACCCCCCGUAUUCACUGAAUAUUAUGAAUUGUUGGUCAAAGUGGUUAUGCUAUUUGAUGCUCCCAUCAACAGAAUAAGUGUUCUUGUCAGACUUUUUAAUUUUGGGGUUUGAAAUGGUAUCUGAUAUUUUAAAAUUACGUUAUCUGAUUACUAAGAGGUCAACCAUCUUUUCAUUUGCUUCUUGACCAUUUUGAUUUAUUCUUCAGUGAAGUGCCAGUUUACACAUUUUGCCCAGUUUUCUUUUGGCUUGUAUUUGUUUGCGGUAGUUCUUUGUAAUUCUGGGAUAAUAAGCCUGUCUCCAAAUUUGUGGUUUGCCUUUCAUUUUAUGUUCUUUCCUCCUCUUCUAGCUGCUUUUGAAAUUUUUGUCUUUGUCGCUGGUUUCCAGCAAUCUGAUUAUAAUGUGGCUUGAUGUGGUUUUCUUUUUUUUAAAAAAAAAAAAAAAACUUACUGAGAUAUAAUUCAUAUACCAUACAAUUCAUUCAUUUAAAGUGUACAGUUCUCUGACUUUCAGUAUAGUCAUAGAAUAGUGCAUCUAUCAGCAUAAUCAAUUUUAGAACAUCUUUGUUACCUAAAGAAGAAACCUGAUACUUAGUCAUCACCCCCAAACCAUCCAACCCCCCCACCCUAGGCAAUCACUAAUCUACUUUCUGUUUCUGCUGCUGAUUCUGGGCAUUUCGUAGAAACGGAAUCAUCAAUAUGUGGUCCUUUGUGACUGUUUUUUUUCACAUAGCAUAAUGUUUUCAAAGGUCGUCUGUGUUGUAGCUUGUAUCAGUACUUUAUUUCUUUUUACUGCCAAAUAAUAUUUCUCUCUAUGGAUAUAUCAUGUUUUAUUUAUCCAUUUGUUGAAAAGGCUGUUCUUUUCCCCAUUGAAUUGUCUUGGUACUCUUGUAAAAAAUCAACUGGCCGUGGAUGUAUGGGUUUAUAUGUGGACUUUCAAUUCUAUUCCAUUGAUGCAUAUCUAGCUUUAUGUGAGUACCAUGUUGUCUUGAUUCCUGUAGCUUUAUAUUAAGUUUUGAAAUUGGGAAGGAUGAGCCCUCCAACUUUGAUCGUGUUUUUCAAGAUUGUUUUGGUUAUUCUGGUUCCCUUGAAUUUCCAUAAGAAUUUGAGGAGCAGCUUCUCAAUUUCUGCACAGAAGUUAGCUGGGAUUUGUGUCUUAGUCAGAAAUUGUGUUGUACUUGUGCAUCAGUUUCAGCUGUGGCUUUAUUUCUGGUAACUCCUUCCUCAUUUCCUUGAGUCCUCACUGAUAGCGCCUUUAAUGUCCAUACUGCUACUAACAGUCUGUUCAAAGCAAUUUAGGUUUUUUCCUAUCGUGUUUCUCAAAAUUCUUCCAGCCUCUACCCACUGCCUGAUUCCAAGGCUCUUCUGUAUUUUUAGGUAUUUGCUAUAACGGCACACCACUUCCAGCACCAAAGGCUGUAUUCAUUUUCUACUGCUGCCGUAACAAAUGACUGCAAACUUAGUGGCUAAAACACUUAUUACCUCACGUUCUGCAGGUUCCAAGUCUGAGCUGACCCUUCAGUAGCUCUUGAGCAUCAUCUCCCACUAUUCUCUGUGUAUUCUAGGCUCUAGGAUAACAGGCAGCUGGUAGUUCCCUGCAGACAUCACGCCAUCCACAUAUCUGUGCACUGGUCUUGUGGUCUUCCCGUCACCUAGUGUCUUAGUCAGUUGAGCUUUUAUGACAGAAUACUAUAGACUGGGUGGUUUAAACAAUAAGCAUUUAUUUCUCAUGGUGCUGGCGGCUGGAAGUGUGAGAUCAGCGUGCCGGCAUGGUUGGCUUCUUGGUGAGGGCUUUCUUCCUGGUUACAUCCUCACAUAGCUGUUCCUUGGUGUGUGCAUGCAGAGAGAAAGAGCUCUGGUCUCAUCAUCCCCUUGUAAGGGUGCUGAUCUCAUCACGGAGGGCUCCACUCUCAUCACCUCAUCUACACCUAAUUAUUUCCCAAAGACCCCACCUCCAAAUACCAUCACACUGGGGAUCAGAGCUUCAGCAUAUGAAUUUUGGGAGGACACACGCCUGUAGUCCACAGCAUGCAGCAUGCUCAUCCCACUGUUUAUUGGCUGAUGCCUUUAUUUUCUAAAUCUGUAGAAUCCUCUCUUCUAGAAAAUUGGACUCUCCCGCUGAAUUAAGUGGCCCACUCUGUGUGUCCAUAAUUGCUUGUCGUCCUUUAUCUUCAUUUACCGUGUGGUAUCAGAAUUACCUAUCACGUGUCAGUCACCCCUAAUAGACCGUGUCUCUGAACUCUGUACUCCCAGGGCUUAGUAAUUGCCUGGUACAUAGUAGCAAGCAAAGAAUACUUGGAACUGAACUAGAUGGGGGAAAUUAUGACUAUAUUUGACCACAUACGUUAAAACUUCCGUCAAACAGCUAAAAAUUAAAAGGCAGAUAAAAACUGGUUUAAAAAAAGUUGCAAUAAGUGACAGGGAGAAGUUUGACAUACAGUAUAAUAUAUUUCAGGGAAAACAUUGUCCCCUGUAAGUAAAGGGUAAGUCACAAAAGGGCAAAUAUAAAUAGCCAUAAUAAUGUGGAAAACGUUCAAAUCUGACUAGUAAUCAAGAUAUGUAAAUCAAAAUGAUGCCAUAUUUUCCUAAUCACUUUAUCAAACAUAAAGAUCUUGUAUUGCCUAUAAUGCCUGAGAAACAUACUCACAUAUUGCUA
Molecule: long non-coding RNA, 5498 nt
Filed under: Equus caballus (horse)
Lineage: Eukaryota; Metazoa; Chordata; Mammalia; Perissodactyla; Equidae
Description: lncRNA (ENSECAG00000054286.1)
Source: RNAcentral